UUUACAUGGCUGUUAGGGCAGAGAAAGCUAAUGAGAUCAUGCUUUCUUUUACAAUCUGCAUUCCUUCAAAGGAAUAGUAGCACCUUUGGCAUCAUCUUCAAAUAUAGAGGAAGAUGAUAUUAAAAAACAAAGUAAUGGUUUCAAUAUGAUAUGCUCUUCUUUUGCAAAGAGACUCUUGUCUGAGAAGAAUGGAAAUUUAUUUUGAAUCAGAGACCUUUUCUAAAUAAAAGAAGAAACUGUUCUUGUCUAAAUAUGGUCAUAUUAGUUGCUUGAUUCCUCUCUGAUCCCUAUUGCUGUUUGCUACAUUAAGUUCUCAUUGCAUGUGCACUUGCUUCUUGGGCAAUGAAAAUAAAUUAAUCUUGAACAUUAAUCUGAAAAUAUUUCACUUUAGUCUUCCAGCUGACUUACUUCUUGUUGAUUCUGCUGAAGUGCUAAGGCAUUUUGGAUCCAGAUAAAGAUGUUUUUUAAAAUCACCUUUGUUAAAGUUCCAUCCUAGUUUAGGCUGAAAUGGCAAAGAAGUAAAUGCAACUCUUCCCUUGUUGACUCUGUCUUCUAAAAGGGGGAAGUUAGCUAGGGGUUCAGAUUCCAUCCAUGAAGAAAGGCAAUGAAAAGGCAUGGAGCUGGGAGUUGGGGUUUGCUUGAUAGAGAACGAUACCUCCUAGCUGUGUGAUCCUGGACAAGUCACUUAACCUUCAUUGCCUAGCCCUUCCCACUCUUCUGCUUUGGACCGGAAGGUAAGGGUUUUAAAAAUUCCUUAGAGAUGAAUACUUAAGUUAUUUUACUCAUGCAUGAUGUUACUAAUAAUUAUUAAAAGUUAAAUUGUUUUUUUGGGAGGGGGAGUUAGUUAGCAAGUACAUCAAAAGCUUUUGAAGUUGAUAUAGAGAGUAACCAUGCUCCAUACAAAAUGUAAGCAUCCAUUUUUAUCUAGAUGAAUCAUGAGUCUGACCCAGUUUAGCAUUAUUAUUAUUUUUUAUGUUCUUAUCCUUAGUGCCACAAUUAGUUGAAUUGAUCCUAUAAUAUUAGAAAAAAUGUACAUGCCCAUUCACAGCUUAGUGUAUCAUUAACGACUCUGUGUUUGGGUUUUCAACAACCAGGAGAAUAAAUUGUGGGAGGGAAAAAGAAAAAGGAUAAGAAGGAGGCCACAAAGGUUACAACUUUUAUCACACACUAUAUUAAGUCUGUCUGUCCAAAGUCCACUGAGAAGUUUUAGCAAACUCUGAAGGCCACAGCCCAGCCCAAGGCAGUUCCACCAGCCUUUACGUGUAUCCUGCUUGCAUUGAGACAUGCUGACUGGAAUUAUAUAUAAAAUCUACUAGACUAUAUUUGUCAUCUAGCCUUUUCAGGGUCCAUUUAAAUAACAUGCUAACUUGCCAACUUGGCUGCAUUCUCAGUGGCCUUCUGUCUUGUGGUAGCACUCAUGAACUGCCUCAUUUGCCUCCUGGGUUAUCUUCUUGUGUCAUUGAACUCUUAUAUUGUUAUUUUACUUUUUAUCUUGUCUUCUCAACUAGAUGGGAAGUUCCAUGUGUCCUUGGUCUAUGCCUUUUAGUCUUUAAUAAACAAGGAAUAUGUGUGUGUCUGUAGUUGUAGAGAGCAAUAGAUAUUUCUAUAUACAUACAUAUAUGUGUGUAGACAUAUUUAGAUAGAUAUUGGUACAUAGAUGUGCUUGAUCUUUCUUUGCAUUCUUGGAGCUUGGCACAAUCCCUGCCACACAGGAAGUUUUUUUUUAACCCUUGCCUUCUGUCUUAGCAUUGUUCCAAGGUAGAAGAUCAGUAAGGGCUAGGUAGUUGGGGUUAAGUGACUUGCCCAGAAUCACAGCUAGGAAGUGUCUGGAGCUAGAUUUGAACUCAGGUUCUCCCAUCUUCAGGCCUGGCUGUCUAUUCACUGAAUCACCUAGCUCUCCCACAUAGAAAGCUCUUACUAAACAGUUGUUAUCUUGACUAUCCCAUAGUAUUUGGUUCAGGAUCUGGUCCAAAAUAGAAACCUAAGGAAUUCUUGUGAACUGAUUAGUUGGUCCUAAUAACCAGCUGUAGUCUGUCUCCUGGCUUCUAGUCUUACAGCAUGAAAUGCUUAUUGAACAUUUUGAUCAAUCAGAAAUAUCUAUUAGGCAUGUAUUCGGUGCCAAGCACUGAGCAAAGCUCUAGGGAUACAAAAGAGUUAAAAGACCGUCUCUCCUCUCAAAGAUCUUCCAAUCUAAUGGGGGAGACAAAAACUAAUAAAUAUAUGUAAACAAUCUAUAUGCAUAAUAAUUAACAGAAGGAAGGCACUCGAAGUAAGAGGAGCUGGGAAAAGCUUCUUGGAGAAGAUGACAUUCUGGUUGAGGCUUAAAGGAAUCCAGGGAAGCGAAUAGGUAGAAGGGAAGACAAUGAACAUUUCAGGCAUGAAGGAAAGCUAGAGAAUGCCUGGAGUCAGAUGGAAUGUCUUGUUAAUGGAUAGCAGACACCGUGUCACAGGAUUGAAGUUUACAUAGCAGAGAGUAAGGAUAUUGAAAAGGUAGAAAGGGGCUAGUU
This is a long non-coding RNA of Monodelphis domestica (gray short-tailed opossum), 2507 nucleotides long. RefSeq lists it as uncharacterized. The record is from RefSeq and is a predicted model, not a curated record. Lineage: Eukaryota; Metazoa; Chordata; Mammalia; Didelphimorphia; Didelphidae.